RNAcentral lists this unclassified non-coding RNA (911 nucleotides) under Melitaea cinxia (Glanville fritillary). RNAcentral's name for it is "misc RNA ENSMCXG00005011903.1". Lineage: Eukaryota; Metazoa; Arthropoda; Insecta; Lepidoptera; Nymphalidae. The record is from RNAcentral.
AAUCUGUAUCCAGCGUCCAGCGGAGCGCGACUCUGUUUGGCAACACAACAGCAGCAAACAUAAUGACAUAAUUGCCGGAGGAGCGACGGGGGGCAAUGCGGGGCGCAUGCGCCGGUUUGACGGCCAAGGUCGAGGCCGCGCGAUUCUGCCGCGCGCCGCCGCGUCGGCAAGUCUCUUGUGUGCCCUCUUUCUCGAAACUAUUUCUAUAAGGGGUAAUGCGCAAUAAACGCCGCGAGUGCACCCUCUACACUACCCUGCCAUCGCCACAAAGGUGAAGCGAAAUGCCAGUGUGCAAAGUUGCGAUCGUAUCGCGUCGUGUCGGAAAUCUGCUGGUGAACAUCACGUGCAUUUCUCUGGCGCGCGACCAGUUCCCGAUAUGCAAUAGCGGACAUGAAAAAUUACUGGAAGCGCUGUUAUCUACCAUAUUUUAACGAAAAAAAAAAAAUCAAGUAAAUAACGUUUUGGCGGGAAAAAAAUUCACUACCCUAGAGGCAGUAAAAAAAAUCCUUUGAAGAGUUUCUUGCCUCCCGUCCAGCAGGAUUUUUCAAGAAAGGCACCAAUAAUUUACGUUGGCAAAAAUACAUUGCUUCCAUGGGUAAACUUUGCAUAAUAAAAAUGAAAAAUAUAGAAAAAAAUUGCGUUAACUUAUUUAAUCAAAAACGGCAAUUUCAUAGGUAAAGAUCUAUUAUAUAAGAAACUAUUUACCUGUGUUUAUGUAUUUUAAUCCAACGUCCAAGAAAAACCCAUUAAUAAUAUUACUAUCACGUAACAAAGAAAAGGAACACGAACGAAAAAUUAACUAAAGCUGGCACGUACAACAAAUUUAAAUACUUACUAUAAUUAUACUAACUGAGGUAGGGCACAGCAGGAAUUUCCUGCUCAAAAUAUGGAGCAGCCCGAGUGGGGUAGUA